RNAcentral lists this non-coding RNA (30 nucleotides) under Cricetulus griseus (Chinese hamster). The record is from RNAcentral. Lineage: Eukaryota; Metazoa; Chordata; Mammalia; Rodentia; Cricetidae.
GUAAAAUGAUUAUUUUUGUGUUGGUAGAUG